Molecule: long non-coding RNA, 143 nt
Organism: Bufo bufo (common toad)
Lineage: Eukaryota; Metazoa; Chordata; Amphibia; Anura; Bufonidae
Exons: 2
Source: RefSeq, a predicted model, not a curated record
CAAGCUGGCAGCUCAAGGGGAGUGUCUUUUCUGCUGCAGCUAAGGGGGCGAGUGUCCAUGCUCUCCCUAUCACAGCUCAGGAGGCAGUUGAAAGAUUUAACUGAGCAUGUGCGGCCAUCUUAAUGAGCUGGUCAAAGAAUAAG